RNAcentral lists this ribosomal RNA (253 nucleotides) under uncultured Xanthobacteraceae bacterium. Its description in RNAcentral is "partial 16S ribosomal RNA". It matches the Rfam family "Bacterial small subunit ribosomal RNA", at positions 524 to 776 of the family's 1533-position model. The record is from RNAcentral. Lineage: Bacteria; Pseudomonadati; Pseudomonadota; Alphaproteobacteria; Hyphomicrobiales; Xanthobacteraceae.
UACGAAGGGGGCUAGCGUUGUUCGGAAUCACUGGGCGUAAAGCGCACGUAGGCGGAUUGUUAAGUCAGGGGUGAAAGCCUGGAGCUCAACUCCAGAACUGCCUUUGAUACUGGCAAUCUCGAGUCCGGAAGAGGUAAGUGGAACUGCGAGUGUAGAGGUGAAAUUCGUAGAUAUUCGCAAGAACACCAGUGGCGAAGGCGGCUUACUGGUCCGGUACUGACGCUGAGGUGCGAAAGCGUGGGGAGCAAACAGG